GGGGAAUUAGCUCAAUUGGUAGAGCGCUUGCUUAGCACGUGAGAGGUAGUGGGAUCGAUGCCCACAUUCUCCA
This is a non-coding RNA of Ailuropoda melanoleuca (giant panda), 73 nucleotides long. The record is from Rfam. NCBI's taxonomy places the organism in Eukaryota, Metazoa, Chordata, Mammalia, Carnivora, Ursidae.